GACGUAGGGCGCGAGCGUUGUUCGGAAUUACUGGGCGUAAAGGGCUCGUAGGCGGCCAACUAAGUCCGACGUGAAAUCCCCAGGCUUAACCUGGGAACUGCGUCGGAUACUGGAUGGCUUGAAUUCGGGAGAGGGAUGCAGAAUUCCAGGUGUAGCGGUGAAAUGCGUAGAUAUGUGGAGGAAUACCGGUGGCGAAGGCGGCAUCCUGGACCAUUACUGACGCUGAGGCGCGAAAGCUAGGGGAGCAAACGGG
This 253-nucleotide ribosomal RNA is filed under the name uncultured bacterium. RNAcentral describes it as "partial 16S ribosomal RNA". It matches the Rfam family "Bacterial small subunit ribosomal RNA", at positions 524 to 776 of the family's 1533-position model. The record is from RNAcentral.